This 440-nucleotide ribosomal RNA is filed under the name uncultured bacterium. RNAcentral describes it as "partial 16S ribosomal RNA". It matches the Rfam family "Bacterial small subunit ribosomal RNA", at positions 338 to 795 of the family's 1533-position model. The record is from RNAcentral.
CCUACGGGGGGCAGCAGUAGGGAAUAUUGCUCAAUGGGGGAAACCCUGAAGCAGCAACGCCGCGUGGAGGAUGACGGUCUUCGGAUUGUUCACCCCUUUUGUUAGAGAAGAUAAUGACGGUAUCUAACGAAUAAGCACCGGCUAACUCAGUGCCAGCAGCCGCUGUAAUACGGAGGGCGCAAGCGUUACUCGGAAUCACUGGGCGUAAAGAGCGCGUAGGCGGGUUAGCAAGUCAGAUGUGAAAUCCUAUGGCUGAACCAUAGAACUGCAGUUGAAACUGUUAUUCUAGAGUAUGGGAGAGGUAGGUGGAAUGCUUGGUGUAUGGGUAAAAUCCGUAGAGAGCAAGAGGAAUACUCAUUGCGAAGGCGACCUGCUAGAACAUAACUGACGCUGAGGCGCGAAAGCGUGGGGAGCGAACAGGAUUAGAUACCCUAGUAGUC